UUUAAGUUGGUCAUGGUGAUUCCAUUCCCCUUGCCGACCAUUGGCUUACAAAAGAGCCCGGUAACAAUUACAGCCAAUGAGAUAUGAAGGAAAGGUUUUUGAGAAGUGUGGAGAGGCUUGGGAAAGCGUUCUUGUUUUACAAAGAAAUGUCACUCUCACUACGAUCUUCACAUUUUGUUGUGUGAAGAUGUUAUGCUUACAGCUGUUGCCGCCGUCUUUUAUCCACAAGGUGACGAACUAGAGGACCGGCUGACACCCUGAGGAUGGCAGAAGAGAAUUUUGUAGAGAGUCUGGUCCUUGGUGAUAUUGUUGAGCUACUAAAUUAACCAACCCUGAACCUGCCAUCCCUCAGACUGUUCCUCCUUUGAGAAAAUAAUACUCUUUAUUGUUUAAGCCAAUUUGGGUGAAGUCCUUUGCUACUUACGGCCAAAAAAACUAAACGUGAGAAUCCAGCUCUGGUCAGAAGAUUGCCCAGUGUGCAAGGACUCCAAGUGAGCUCCCUUGGAAGCAGGUGACAACCUGGGCAAGAGGUCCUUCAGAUGCAUCAUCCCAACCCUUGAACAGGAAGCCAGAGGCACAAAGAAGCAGAAGCAGGAGAGAAACCAUUUGGUGUGUGUGGUAGCAAUAGCACCAACAUCCAGCUUCCAUGGGGAUAGCAAGAGGUCCUCACCGACCUGGGUCUAUGCUCCUGCCUUGUCUCUGAGCCUAGUGUUCUUGAAGAGUUAAUGAGCUACCUUGUAUCUUUUGAA
RNAcentral lists this long non-coding RNA (749 nucleotides) under Equus caballus (horse). RNAcentral's name for it is "lncRNA (ENSECAG00000051908.1)". The record is from RNAcentral. Lineage: Eukaryota; Metazoa; Chordata; Mammalia; Perissodactyla; Equidae.